RNAcentral lists this ribosomal RNA (278 nucleotides) under Pichia kudriavzevii. Its description in RNAcentral is "partial 26S ribosomal RNA". It matches the Rfam family "Eukaryotic large subunit ribosomal RNA", at positions 350 to 645 of the family's 3401-position model. The record is from RNAcentral. Lineage: Eukaryota; Fungi; Ascomycota; Pichiomycetes; Pichiales; Pichiaceae.
ACUGUGAAGGAAAGAUGAAAAGCACUUUGAAAAGAGAGUGAAACAGCACGUGAAAUUGUUGAAAGGGAAGGGUAUUGCGCCCGACAUGGGGAUUGCGCACCGCUGCCUCUCGUGGGCGGCGCUCUGGGCUUUCCCUGGGCCAGCAUCGGUUCUUGCUGCAGGAGAAGGGGUUCUGGAACGUGGCUCUUCGGAGUGUUAUAGCCAGGGCCAGAUGCUGCGUGCGGGGACCGAGGACUGCGGCCGUGUAGGUCACGGAUGCUGGCAGAACGGCGCAACAC